RNAcentral lists this transfer RNA (85 nucleotides) under Candidatus Electryonea clarkiae. RNAcentral's name for it is "tRNA-Ser". It matches the Rfam family "tRNA". Rfam says of the family: Transfer RNA (tRNA) molecules are approximately 80 nucleotides in length. Their secondary structure includes four short double-helical elements and three loops (D, anti-codon, and T loops). Further hydrogen bonds mediate the characteristic L-shaped molecular structure. tRNAs have two regions of fundamental functional importance: the anti-codon, which is responsible for specific mRNA codon recognition, and the 3' end, to which the tRNAs corresponding amino acid is attached (by aminoacyl-tRNA synthetases). tRNAs cope with the degeneracy of the genetic code in two manners: having more than one tRNA (with a specific anti-codon) for a particular amino acid; and 'wobble' base-pairing, i.e. permitting non-standard base-pairing at the 3rd anti-codon position. Lineage: Bacteria; Pseudomonadati; Candidatus Electryoneota; Candidatus Electryoneia; Candidatus Electryoneales; Candidatus Electryoneaceae. The record is from RNAcentral.
GGAGGAUUAGCCUAAUUGGUAAGGCAGCGGUCUUGAAAACCGCCGGGACUGACGUCCCUUGCAGGUUCGAGUCCUGCAUCCUCCG